GGAUCCAGACUUUGAUUAUGGCUCACGAUGAACGCUAGCGACAGGCUUAACACAUGCAAGUCGAGGGGCAGCGGGGGUAGCAAUACCCGCCGGCGACCGGCGCACGGGUGAGUAACGCGUAUGCAACUUACCUAUCAGAGGGGGAUAACCCGGCGAAAGUCGGACUAAUACCGCAUAAAGCAGGGGCCCCGCAUGGGGAUAUUUGCUAAAGAUUCAUCGCUGAUAGAUAGGCAUGCGUUCCAUUAGGCAGUUGGCGGGGUAACGGCCCACCAAACCGACGAUGGAUAGGGGUUCUGAGAGGAAGGUCCCCCACAUUGGUACUGAGACACGGACCAAACUCCUACGGGAGGCAGCAGUGAGGAAUAUUGGUCAAUGGGCGCGAGCCUGAACCAGCCAAGUCGCGUGAGGGAUGAAGGUUCUAUGGAUCGUAAACCUCUUUUAUAAGGGAAUAAAGUGCGGGACGUGUCCCGUUUUGUAUGUACCUUAUGAAUAAGGAUCGGCUAACUCCGUGCCAGCAGCCGCGGUAAUACGGAGGAUCCGAGCGUUAUCCGGAUUUAUUGGGUUUAAAGGGUGCGUAGGCGGCCUUUUAAGUCAGCGGUGAAAGUCUGUGGCUCAACCAUAGAAUUGCCGUUGAAACUGGGAGGCUUGAGUACGUUUGAGGCAGGCGGAAUGCGUGGUGUAGCGGUGAAAUGCAUAGAUAUCACGCAGAACCCCGAUUGCGAAGGCAGCCUGCCAAGCCAUGACUGACGCUGAUGCACGAAAGCGUGGGGAUCAAACAGGAUUAGAUACCCUGGUAGUCCACGCAGUAAACGAUGAUCACUAGCUGUUUGCGAUACAGUGUAAGCGGCACAGCGAAAGCGUUAAGUGAUCCACCUGGGGAGUACGCCGGCAACGGUGCAACUCAAAGGAAUUGACGG
Molecule: ribosomal RNA, 917 nt
Filed under: uncultured Bacteroidota bacterium
Lineage: Bacteria; Pseudomonadati; Bacteroidota
Description: bacterial SSU rRNA
Rfam family: Bacterial small subunit ribosomal RNA
Source: RNAcentral